Molecule: long non-coding RNA, 484 nt
Organism: Phyllostomus discolor (pale spear-nosed bat)
Lineage: Eukaryota; Metazoa; Chordata; Mammalia; Chiroptera; Phyllostomidae
Exons: 3
Source: RefSeq, a predicted model, not a curated record
CCCAUUGCAUCGCUGUGUCCCUAUCCGCAGAGGCAUGGGGAAUAGUUUAGGCCCCCGCAGCAGCGGGGUUCUGCGGUUCCCCAAAGUGAGUUGUUGGGCUAGAUCCGGCUGGUUGCAGAGUCUUGGGAGGCGCAGAGGUGAGGAUCCCACGAGCGAAGCAGCAGGAGAGCAGCCCGGUCAGGGUCAGGGUGAGGCGCGGGCCUUGGGGCACAUAAGCGACAUCUGAAAGGUGGUGGCCAACUGUUUGAAAAAGGACACUCACCAAAGAGAGCAACCUGUCCAAUUGCCUCAGAUCCUUUUGGUAUUACAAUGGUUCAGGUGUGCUGUUAACAAUCUCUACACUUUUUCCAAGAGCAGCAGAAAAUGCAUGGAUCCUGGGUGAGUUUUCCCAGUUUGCGUUGUGAUGCAUUUCAGGAGGUUCAGAGGGGCCCAUACAUAAAAAUGGGAACCUAGAAAUAGAUAAAUGGCCUUAUAUAAAAUGUAG